This 253-nucleotide ribosomal RNA is filed under the name uncultured bacterium. RNAcentral's name for it is "partial 16S ribosomal RNA". It matches the Rfam family "Bacterial small subunit ribosomal RNA", at positions 524 to 776 of the family's 1533-position model. The record is from RNAcentral.
UACAGAGGUCCCAAGCGUUGUUCGGAUUCAUUGGGCGUAAAGGGUGUGUAGGUGGCGCCGUAAGUCGGGUGUGAAAUCUCGGGGCUUAACUCCGAAACUGCAUUCGAUACUGCGGUGCUUGAGGACUGGAGAGGAGACUGGAAUUUACGGUGUAGCGGUGAAAUGCGUAGAUAUCGUAAGGAAGACCAGUGGCGAAGGCGGCUCUCUGGGACGGUACUGACGCUGAGACGCGAAAGCGUGGGGAGCAAACAGG